RNAcentral lists this non-coding RNA (761 nucleotides) under Tenebrionoidea sp. 9 KM-2017. Lineage: Eukaryota; Metazoa; Arthropoda; Insecta; Coleoptera. The record is from RNAcentral.
AUAAAGUUUUAUUCUGGCUUGAAUAUUGGUUUUAAAGUUUUUUUAUAUGUAAAUUUUAGUGUAAUUAUUGUUUUAAUAGUAAUAAUUUUAUUUGCAGUUUAAAGUUUUAAAUUUUAAGGAUUCUUAGAUUUAGAAAUUUUUAUAGUUUAAACAAAAUUUGUGCCAGCAGUUGCGGUUAUACAAAUUAUGCAAACCAAUUUUAUUUAAUCUAAUUAAAUGUAUAAUAAAGUUUAAUUUUGAAUUUUUUGGGUGAAAUCUAAAAUUUUUAAAAUCUUGUUGUUUGUUAUUGAAGUUAAGAAAUUUAUUUUUAAACUAGGAUUAGAUACCCUAUUAUUUUAAAUGUGAUUUUUUGUUAAAAUUAGUAAAAGUUAUGAUCUUCAAAAUUAAAGAUUUUGGCGGUAUUUUAGUCUUAUCAGAGGAACCUGUUUCGUAAUCGAUAGUCCACGAUUAUUAGUACUUUAAUUUUAAAUUUAUAUAUCGUCGUAGUUUGAAUGUUUUAGAAGAAUUUAAAUGUUCAUUUAUUUUUAUUAUAAGAGAAUUCAGAUCAAGGUGUAGUUUAUAUUAAAGAAGUAAUGGGUUACAAUAUAUUUAUAUUUGGUUCUUAUUUUUGUAAUGUAAGAUAAAUUGGAUUUGAAAGUAAAUUUUUAUAUUUAUGAUUUUUGAUUUAGCUCUAAAAUAUGCACAUAUCGCCCGUCGCUUUCACUAUAAAGUGAAAUAAGUCGUAACAAAGUAGGCCUAUUGGAAAAUGGGCCUGGAAUGAU